AGAAGGCCGCUUAUCUCCCUGAUGAUGCUUAUCUCCUGGGAAAUAUGGAAGGAGCGAAACGCUAGAGUUUUCCGCAACACGGCCGUUCCAGUGGGAGUGUUGGUCGCCAAGGUUAAAAGGGAAUGCUCGCUUUGGAGCCUUGCAGGAGCAAAACAUUUGUGUAACAUUAUGUCGAGAGAGUGA
RNAcentral lists this ribosomal RNA (183 nucleotides) under Triticum aestivum (bread wheat). RNAcentral describes it as "partial small subunit ribosomal RNA". Lineage: Eukaryota; Viridiplantae; Streptophyta; Magnoliopsida; Poales; Poaceae. The record is from RNAcentral.